Molecule: long non-coding RNA, 845 nt
Organism: Tyto alba (common barn owl)
Lineage: Eukaryota; Metazoa; Chordata; Aves; Strigiformes; Tytonidae
Exons: 2
Source: RefSeq, a predicted model, not a curated record
GCCCAAUGGCGACGCGGGGGGAAGCUAUAAAAGCCGCCGCGGGGGCACGUGGCCGGCCUUUCCCGGCAGGAGGGCUCGGCGGGAAGCGGACGGCGGAGGCCUGAGGGGCGAUGCGGGAGCCUGGUCUCGGCGGCCCGGGAAGCGGCACCCCCCUGAUACAGGGCCUAGAUAGGAACAGGGGAUGUAAGGGUUAAUAUGGGAAUAGCAAGAAGGGGGUGACAAGGGAAAUAGUUGAGAUAACAGUUCUGCUUAAUGAGUAGAUAGUUCGUAAAACAUGAUGAGCUGAGGUUUGGCGACCCAGAUGACCCUUCGGGGCGGUGAAACGCCCGGUCGGUUGUUUCUCGCGUACCAUGCAGCCUCGUAAUUUCUGGGCUCUGCAACUGCAGGGAAAGCACUCGGGCGGGUGAAGCUGGGGCUGGAGGAACUAAGCCGUGCCUUGGCAUAGCUGCUGUGCAAGAGGGAGUGUCGGCUGCGGGCUCCGAGUGUGCGGGGCAGCUCCGAGUACGGCUGAAAAUUGCGUUUUCUGGGGUUGCAGUAUGAAACGGGGAAGCUGCUGUUGCUCACGCAGUACAGCUUAGUUUUCAAAGCACAAAGAAGCAGCUGCAGAACUGCCCGAAGUACAAGAAAUACACAGGCAUCGACUUUCGCCGUGGUGGAUAUCUUGGGGUCCUUGAUGCUAACUAGCUUUUUGGAAUAUAUCAAGUUCCUCGGGCCAUGUGCUUUUCCCAGCCUCAAAUCAAGUUCAGCCUGUAAUUGUUACUUUUUUUGAUGCUGUAUCUCUGCUUUGGCUUCUGUAUCAGGCCAAUUUUAUGCCUUACAGAUUUAAUAAAGUUUUCAAAACAUUC